UAAGGAAUAUUGGACAAUGGGGGAAACCCUGAUCCAGCCAUGCCGCGUGAGUGAAGAAGGCCUUAGGGUUGUAAAGCUCUUUCAAUGGUGAAGAUAAUGACGGUAGCCAUAGAAGAAGCCCCGGCUAAAUUCGUGCCAGCAGCCGCGGUAAUACGAAUGGGGCAAGCGUUGUUCGGAAUCACUGGGCUUAAAGCGUAUGUAGGCGGUCAUGCAAGUCAGAAGUGAAAUCCCUGGGCUUAACCCGGGAACUGCUUUUGAAACUGCACGACUAGAAUCCUGGAGAGGUUGGGAGAAUUCCUAGUGUAGAGGUGAAAUUCGCAGAUAUUAGGAGGAAUACCAGUGGCGUAGGCGCCCAACUGGACAGGUAUUGACGCUCAGAUACGAAAGCGUGGGGAGCAAA
Molecule: ribosomal RNA, 400 nt
Filed under: uncultured bacterium
Lineage: Bacteria
Description: bacterial SSU rRNA
Rfam family: Bacterial small subunit ribosomal RNA
Source: RNAcentral